RNAcentral lists this ribosomal RNA (948 nucleotides) under uncultured bacterium. Its description in RNAcentral is "bacterial SSU rRNA". It matches the Rfam family "Bacterial small subunit ribosomal RNA", at positions 62 to 1019 of the family's 1533-position model. The record is from RNAcentral.
UCGAACGAUGAAGCUGGAGCUUGCUCCAGUGGAUUAGUGGCGAACGGGUGAGUAACACGUGAGCAAUCUGCCCUUGACUCUGGGAUAACUGCGGGAAACUGUAGCUAAUACCGGAUACGACACCUUGGGGCAUCCCGAGGUGUGGAAAGAAUUUCGGUCAAGGAUGAGCUCGCGGCCUAUCAGCUUGUUGGUGAGGUAAAAGCUCACCAAGGCGACGACGGGUAGCCGGCCUGAGAGGGUGACCGGCCACACUGGAACUGAGAUACGGUCCAGACUCCUACGGGAGGCAGCAGUGGGGAAUAUUGCACAAUGGGCGCAAGCCUGAUGCAGCAACGCCGCGUGAGGGAUGAAGGCCUUCGGGUUGUAAACCUCUUUUAUCAGGGAAGAAGCGAAAGUGACGGUACCUGAAGAAAAAGCACCGGCUAACUACGUGCCAGCAGCCGCGGUAAUACGUAGGGUGCAAGCGUUGUCCGGAAUUAUUGGGCGUAAAGAGCUCGUAGGCGGUUUGUCGCGUCUGCUGUGAAAAUCCAAGGCUCAACCUUGGACCUGCAGUGGGUACGGGCAGACUAGAGUGCGGUAGGGGAGAUGGGAAUUCCUGGUGUAGCGGUGGAAUGCGCAGAUAUCAGGAGGAACACCAAUGGCGAAGGCACAUCUCUGGGCCGUAACUGACGCUGAGGAGCGAAAGCGUGGGGAGCGAACAGGAUUAGAUACCCUGGUAGUCCACGCCGUAAACGGUGGGUGCUAGUUGUGGGCCACAUUCCACGUGGUCCGUGACGAAGUUAACACAUUAAGCACCCCGCCUGGGGAGUACGGUCGCAAGACUAAAACUCAAAGGAAUUGACGGGGGCCCGCACAAGCGGCGGAGCAUGCGGAUUAAUUCGAUGCAACGCGAAGAACCUUACCAAGGCUUGACAUAUAGAGGAAACGUGCAGAAAUGUACGCCCCGCA